GACGAACGCUGGCGGCGUGCUUAACACAUGCAAGUCGAACGGAAAGGCCUGCUUUCCCUUGUGGAUUGCGGGUACUCGAGUGGCGAACGGGUGAGUAACACGUGAGUGAUCUGCCCCCAACUUGGGUAUAAGCCUGGGAAACUGGGUCUAAUUCCCGAUAGGACUGCAGGGUGGUGCCUGUGGUGGAAAACGAUUUUCUAGUGGUUGGGGAUGAGCUCGCGGCCUAUCAGCUUGUUGGUGGGGUAAUGGCCUACCAAGGCGGCGACGGGUAGCCGGCCUGGAUGGGUGGCCGCGCACGUGGGACAUGGGAACCGGCCCAGCCCUCCCGGGGGGGCAGCGUGGGGGAAUAUUGCACCAGGGGCGGACGCUUGGGCCCGGGCCGCCGCGGGGGGGAUGCCGGCCUUGGGGUUGUGAACUCCUUUGGACCGGGAGGAGGCCACCUGGUUGGAAGGGGGGGGCGGGUGGUGGUAGAAGAAGCCCCGGCUACCUCCGU
This 493-nucleotide ribosomal RNA is filed under the name uncultured bacterium. Its description in RNAcentral is "partial 16S ribosomal RNA". It matches the Rfam family "Bacterial small subunit ribosomal RNA", at positions 28 to 506 of the family's 1533-position model. The record is from RNAcentral.